CCCUUAGAUGUUCUGGGCCGCACGCGUGCUACACUGAGUGGAUCAGCGGGUCAGGUUGCGCGAAAGUGUUUCCUAAUCUUUAAAUCCGCUCGUGAUGGGGAUUGACGGUUGCAAUUUUCCGUCAUGAACGAGGAAUACCUUGUAAGCGCGGGUCAUCAUCCCGCGCUGAAUACGUCCCUGCCCUUUGUACACACCGCCCGUCGCUCCUACCGAUUGAAUGCUCAGGUGGGCCAUUCGGACUUUCAUCAUGCUGGUUUCCAGUUUUGAUGAAGGAAAGUCUUGCGAACCUUAUCAUUUAGAGGAAGGAGAAGUCGUAACA
RNAcentral lists this ribosomal RNA (319 nucleotides) under uncultured eukaryote. RNAcentral describes it as "partial 18S ribosomal RNA". It matches the Rfam family "Eukaryotic small subunit ribosomal RNA", at positions 1470 to 1796 of the family's 1831-position model. The record is from RNAcentral.